UGAUUAUAUAUGAUUAAGAAAAUAAGAUUUACAUGCUUUUACGAAUUUUUGUAACAUCUCAGAACGACGUGAACUAGGGUAGACGAGAUUCAAAAUGGAGAAAUACAUGUCCACGCGAUAGUAUUCGAAUCGACGCCAUUAGUACCAAAAUUUUCAAGUUCCAUAGGUAUGGUUUAAUUUUUCAUUGUUUUCCUAUAUUUUCCUUUUAAACAUGUAUAUACGUGUUACCUAUAGGGAGAGCUCCGCUCUCACGGCCCUUCGGGCCGUGAGAGGGCUUCGCCCUCUACAACGAAAAUUAUUAUAGUGCGUGGUCUUUCUUAAUGCUAUAGAUUAGACAGGCUGAAACAGUUUUCUCAAGAAACACAAGGAUUCACUUGAGACCCCUGAAACAACGGGGCGAUUACAUCGUAUUGAAAUUUUAAAGUGAAAAAUCACCACCACUCAGCACUGCUUGUUUCCAUAUAAAUCACAACAGAAAACUUGCCAAGGCGUAAGUGCUUCAUUUAUUUCAAAUGAAGAAAAAAUGUACGUCAUAAAUAUGAAUACAGGAACAAUUGUCUGGGAGACAUGCCAGCAUCAAGGGACGUUUGUCGACAUAUCAACUGUUAAAAUGCCAGAUAUUAGAGUAUUACAUAACAGCGCUCUCCCAGUCUCAAUAAAUGCAAUAAUGCGAUAAAAUACAAAAA
Ostrea edulis (European flat oyster) is the source of this 686-nucleotide long non-coding RNA. RefSeq lists it as uncharacterized. The transcript has 2 exons. NCBI's taxonomy places the organism in Eukaryota, Metazoa, Mollusca, Bivalvia, Ostreida, Ostreidae. The record is from RefSeq and is a predicted model, not a curated record.